This 492-nucleotide ribosomal RNA is filed under the name uncultured bacterium. RNAcentral's name for it is "partial 16S ribosomal RNA". It matches the Rfam family "Bacterial small subunit ribosomal RNA", at positions 28 to 507 of the family's 1533-position model. The record is from RNAcentral.
GAUGAACGCUAGCUACAGGCUUAACACAUGCAAGUCGAGGGGAAACGACAUCGAAAGCUUGCUUUUGAUGGGCGUCGACCGGCGCACGGGGGAGUAACGCGUAUCCAACCUGCCCACCUCUUGGGGAUAACCUUGCGAAAGUAAGACUAAUACCCAAUGACGUCUCUAGAAGACAUCUGAAAGAGAUUACAGAUUUAUCGGUGAUGGAUGGGGAUGCGUCUGAUUAGCUUGUUGGCGGGGUAACGGCCCACCAAGGCGACGAUCAGUAGGGGUUCUGAGAGGAAGGUCCCCCACAUUGGAACUGAGACACGGUCCAAACUCCUACGGGAGGCAGCAGUGCGGAAUAUUGGUCAAUGGACGAGAGUCUGAACCAGCCAAGUAGCGUGCAGGAUGACGGCCCUAUGGGUUGUAAACUGCUUUUAGAAGGGAAUAAAGUGAGUCUCGUGAGACUUUUUGCAUGUACCUUAUGAAUAAGGACCGGCUAAUUCCGUG